This 425-nucleotide ribosomal RNA is filed under the name uncultured cyanobacterium. Its description in RNAcentral is "bacterial SSU rRNA". It matches the Rfam family "Bacterial small subunit ribosomal RNA", at positions 356 to 795 of the family's 1533-position model. The record is from RNAcentral. Lineage: Bacteria; Bacillati; Cyanobacteriota.
GGGGAAUUUUCCUGCAAUGGGCGAAAGCCUGACGGAGCAAUACCGCGUGAGGGAGGAAGGCUCUUGGGUUGUAAACCUCUUUUCUCAGGGAAUAAGAACUGAAGGUACCUGAGGAAUCAGCAUCGGCUAACUCCGUGCCAGCAGCCGCGGUAAUACGGAGGAUGCAAGCGUUAUCCGGAAUGAUUGGGCGUAAAGCGUCCGCAGGUGGUUUAUCAAGUCUGCUGUCAAAGAGUUUGGCUCAACCAAAUAAAGGCAGUGGAAACUGACAGACUGGAGUGCGGUAAGGGCAGAGGGAAUUCCUGGUGUAGCGGUGAAAUGCGUAGAGAUCAGGAAGAACACCGGUGGCGAAAGCGCUCUGCUGGGCCGUAACUGACACUGAGGGACGAAAGCUAGGGGAGCGAAUGGGAUUANAUACCCCAGUAGUC